Molecule: long non-coding RNA, 2170 nt
Organism: Pongo abelii (Sumatran orangutan)
Lineage: Eukaryota; Metazoa; Chordata; Mammalia; Primates; Hominidae
Source: Ensembl
UUUUGUUGUUGUUUUUGUUUUUGUAUUGUUUUUGUGUUUUUGUUUUGAAUUUUUUCCUUUCCUACUAAGAUUAUGCCCAGAAAAAAGUUUUGCAUGUUUCCUGCUGUUUCUUCACACCUUCGUAUAUAUCACCUUCACCUCUCUGUUUUCUAUAGUUUGUGCAAAAACUGAUCGAUUUAAAAGGGUUUCAAAGAAGCUGUUUUAAAUUGUUGUAGGGUUUUUUUUUUUUCAAGAUUGUAUUGUUUAAUUUUGAAGUGGCAACUUUCUCCUCUAUUGCCCUUAGAGCGUUUGCCUGUGCACUUAGACUGUCACUUCGUGUGGCCUCCAGGUCUUACCGGGGCGUCCAGGAGGCUGGCUGCUCUGCUCAGAGAGGGUGGGAAGAGGGCCUGGAGAGACACGAGAAGCAGAGGUAGAGCCUAGAAGGUGGCAGCAGGUGGGUAAGAGGCUUAUUUAGCGCAUUAGGGGCAGUGAGCACCUGGAGGAAGGAGGGCGCUUCCAACCACCCGUAGGAGGCCAUCUGCGCACCAAGUGGCAAUUCACCUGCUGGCGCUUUUCCUAGGUGACAAGCACAAUACUACAGUCUUCACACUGUUUACAGCCCUGGGCACCAGCCACCCCGCACUGACUCUUCACCACAGCUCUGCUCUUGCUUAGCUAGUGGGGUGGGGGAAAGGGCAGGGAUUUGUUUUUUAAAUUGGGUGAAGAGCCAAACAGCUACUGUCCCUGGGUGCCAAGCAAGCCAGUUUUUUUGGUUCCCUGAGGGAAACUGACCCUCUUCUCUUGUGGCACCAUCCAGCCUCAGGGUCUUGGAGACUUCGGUAAGAAUGUGAGUGAAGGGGGAGAGGCGAGGAGAGGAGAGGUCAGGUCAGAGGGUGGAUCUGUAGAGGGAAGAGGUUACGGGGGAGGAGCUGAUGAUAGUUCCCACCCAGACCUAAGCUGCUGGUGGGUGGGUGAGCUGGGAAGGAGGACUGUCCAGGGAAGGGUGGAGAGAUGUAGCUAGGGGCUGGGGAGGGGGAGGUGGAAGCGCUGUUGAGCAUCCUCCACACCAAGGUUGAUGAAGGAAGGGAUCCCAGCAGGGUUUCUGCUCUGGGGCUGGCAGGUUGCCUGGUAUUAUGCCCAAGGCCAUUCUGCUUGGGGGAAAGGGCAGCCAGGCAGAGGCCCAGUGUCUGGUAGGCUGCUGAAUUUCCUGGAAGGGGUGAUUGGAUGGAAAGAGGCCAGAAACCCCAGCCUGAGAGACUACUGUGCGCCCCACAGUCUGACUGCACAGAGCCGCCUCUGUUGGCAGGAGGCACUGAGGCUCCCCUUCCUGUGUAUUGAGAAGCCGUGUUUGCCAAUAUAUUUUGCUUUCAAUUCCAAGAGGAGCUCUGGGAAAACCUGUGGAUAAAACCAAAUGCCAAAUGUUGGACGUUGUUUCCUUUUCCUUUUCUCUCUCUGAUUGUUUUAAUUGUUCUGUGGUGGUUUUAAUGGAUUUGAGACCCUGGAGCGGCAGCUGCCUUUCUGAUUUCCAGCUGCUUUUUGUGAAUAAUUUAAAAAGAAAAAAAAAAAAGAAACUUUACAUUUUGGAGACAAACCUGUGUGAGUUUUUUAUUGGUACAAACGUUGUAUUUAACACUAGGGGUUUUGUACAGUUUUUUGCCUUUUCUACUAGAAAACAAUGUAAAGUGAUUUCACAAUGUGAAGAGAAAAAAAAAUUGCCACUAUGACCAAACGCACAGUCUGUUCUGCAGCAACAACGGGAUUCAAUCAACUCAGUCGUGAUUCAGCCGUAGAAAUGCUUUUCCUUUAUCUUGUUUGAGCUUUUCCUUUCUUUCCUGUUUUGAUUUGCAAAAGAAAAUGUCUUUUUUGUGUGAACUUGUGUUGUACUCUGUAGAAAAUUAUGGAUUUUACUUUAAUGGUUUAAAAAAAGGCAAGGAGAGCCCUCGUCGCUUUUCUUACCUAAUCACAGAGUUUGUGUAGUGAAUUUAAAAAGAAAAAAAGAAUUGUUACAAGUUUGGAGCAAGGGAGUAUGUGUUUCAAAGGAAUCUCCUUCCUUUUUUUGUGUGUUUUUUCUUUUGUCCCAAUGGGGAACCUAAAUCUGUUUUAAUUGCACAGACACAUGGACAAAAAGUCAUUUUGUAUCUGCCAAGUGUGGUACCUUCCUUUGUUUAUUUGCUAUUAAACUGUUUGAGAA